UAUAUCUUAGUGUACGGUGCACAGAAGCCUUUGAAGCUUAAUGACUGGGUUCGACUCCCAAAUUUAUAA
This 69-nucleotide transfer RNA is filed under the name Tubifex tubifex (sludge worm). RNAcentral describes it as "tRNA-Gln". It matches the Rfam family "tRNA". From Rfam's summary of the family: Transfer RNA (tRNA) molecules are approximately 80 nucleotides in length. Their secondary structure includes four short double-helical elements and three loops (D, anti-codon, and T loops). Lineage: Eukaryota; Metazoa; Annelida; Clitellata; Tubificida; Naididae. The record is from RNAcentral.